CCUACGGGAGGCAGCAGUGAGGAAUAUUGGUCAAUGGUCGGGAGACUGAACCAGCCAAGCCGCGUGAGGGAUGAAGGUACAGAGUAUCGUAAACCUCUUUUGUCAGGGAACAAAGGCGGGGACGUGUCCCCGGAUGAGUGUACCUGACGAAAAAGCAUCGGCUAACUCCGUGCCAGCAGCCGCGGUAAUACGGAGGAUGCGAGCGUUAUCCGGAUUUAUUGGGUUUAAAGGGUGCGCAGGCGGUCUGUUAAGUCAGCGGGCAAAGCCCGGGGCUCUACCCCGGGCCGCCGUUGAAACUGGCAGUCUCGAGUUGGAGAGAAGUAUGCGGAAUGCGCGGUGUAGCGGUGAAAUGCAUAGAUAUCGCGCAGAACUCCGAUUGCGAAGGCAGCAUGCCGGCUCCACACUGACGCUGAGGCACGAAAGCGUGGGUAUCGAACGGGAUUAGAUACCCGGGUAGUC
This 459-nucleotide ribosomal RNA is filed under the name uncultured bacterium. RNAcentral describes it as "partial 16S ribosomal RNA". It matches the Rfam family "Bacterial small subunit ribosomal RNA", at positions 338 to 795 of the family's 1533-position model. The record is from RNAcentral.